ACUGAGCGGAAGCGUAUUCGUAAACGCUGCCCCGGAACUCCCCAUUUCCUUAUUAAGAGAUGGCACCCUAUGGGCAGCCCAGCUUCACGGGGAUGAAGACGAAGACUACAUCGAAAAAAUCCAGAAUAUGACUGGAAAGCCCGUCAUCAAGGCCUUUUCCAUAAAAACACCCGAAGAUGUUCAGCGGGCUCUUCGAAGCCCUGCCGACUACAUCCUCUUAGAUCAGGGCGCAGGAGGAACCGGCGAACCUUUCGACUGGACCCUGGUUCCCCCAGUCCGCCGCCCAUUCUUCCUUGCCGGAGGAAUCGGUCCCGAAAACCUCCGCAGCGCCAUCGGAACCUUACACCCAUGGGCUGUAGACCUGAGCAGCAGCCUGGAAACCGAUGGAAGAAAAGACCGGGCGAAAAUCCAGCAGAUUGCCCGUAUGCUGAAGCAGAUUAAUACACUGGAAGCAUACAGAAAAGAGCGAGAAGCAGAUUUAGAGUGAAGAGUGAAGAAAGUAAUUCAUAUACAAAACAGCGAAACGAAAGGAAACAACGCUAUGUCAAACGGAAGAUUUGGAAUCCACGGCGGCCAGUAUAUCCCCGAAACCCUGAUGAACGCGGUGCACGAAUGGCGUAACGACUUCCCCACUGUCUCGACCAGGAGCUCGGCGAAAUUGCAGUACGAGUAAAGAUGCUCGUUAAGCGCAGAAGGACGAAAAGACCCCGGGACCUUUACUAUACCUUGGUAUUGGCGUUAGGCGCGGAUUGUGUAGCAUAGGCGGGAGGCUUCGAAGCGUGGGCGCCAGCCCGUGUGGAGCCGCAAGGUGAAAUACCGCUCUGUUCUCGUUUGACGUCUCACCUCGAACAGUCAUCCUGUUCAGGGACAGUGCCUGGCGGGUAGUUUAACUGGGGCGGUUGCCUCCCAAAGAGUAACGGAGGCGCUCAAAGGUCCGCUCAGCCCGGUUGGCAAUCGGGUUUCGAGUGUAAUCGCACAAGCGGGCUUGACUGCGAGAACGACGGUUCGGGCAGGGACGAAAGUCGGAGAUAGUGAUCCGGUGCCGGCGCACGGGCGCGGCAUCGCUCAACGGAUAAAAGGUACCCCGGGGAUAACAGGCUGAUCAUUCCCAAGAGUCCAUAUCGACGGGAUGGUUUGGCACCUCGAUGUCGGCUCGUCGCAUCCUGGGGCUGGAGCAGGUCCCAAGGGUUCGGCUGUUCGCCGAUUAAAGCGGCACGCGAGCUGGGUUCAGAACGUCGUGAGACAGUUUGGUCUCUAUCCUCUGCGCUCGUUGGAAUCCUGAGGAGGCCUGCCCAUAGUACGAGAGGACCUGGGUGGACGGACCUCUGGUAUGCCGGUUGUCGCGCCAGCGGCAUGGCCGGUUGGCUACGUUCGGGAGGGAUAACCGCUGAAAGCAUCUAAGCGGGAAGCCUGCUCCAAGAUUAGGAUUCCUUGACGCUCCCCGGAGCGUCCGAAGCCCGCAUGUGGAACACGUGUUCGAUAGGCCGGAGGUGGAAGCCCCGCGAGGGGUGGAGCCGACCGGUACUAACGGGCGAACGCGGCACAC
RNAcentral lists this ribosomal RNA (1546 nucleotides) under human gut metagenome. RNAcentral describes it as "bacterial LSU rRNA". The stretch from base 663 to 1535 matches the Rfam family "Bacterial large subunit ribosomal RNA", at positions 2046 to 2912 of the family's 2925-position model. The record is from RNAcentral.